RNAcentral lists this ribosomal RNA (499 nucleotides) under uncultured bacterium. Its description in RNAcentral is "partial 16S ribosomal RNA". It matches the Rfam family "Bacterial small subunit ribosomal RNA", at positions 28 to 523 of the family's 1533-position model. The record is from RNAcentral.
GACGAACGCUGGCGGCGUGCCUAAUACAUGCAAGUCGUGCGAACCACUUCGGUGGUGAGCGGCGGACGAGUGAGUAACACGUGGGCAAUCUGCCCGACAGACUGGGAUAACGCUUGGAAACGAGUGCUAAUACCGGAUACGCUCUUGAAUCGCAUGGUUCGAGAGGGAAAGCUGCCUUUGCAGCACUGUCGGAUGAGCCCGCGGCGCAUUAGCUAGUUGGUGAGGUAACGGCUCACCAAGGCGACGAUGCGUAGCCGACCUGAGAGGGUGACCGGCCACACUGGGACUGAGACACGGCCCAGACUCCUACGGGAGGCAGCAGUAGGGAACCUUCCGCAAUGGGCGCAAGCCUGACGGAGCAACGCCGCGUGAGUGAUGAAGGCCUUCGGGUUGUAAAACUCUGUCUUCUGUGAAGAACAAGCCUAUGACGAGAAUGCUUAGGCCCUGACGGUAACAGAGGAGGAAGCCCCGGCUAACUACGUGCCAGCCGCCGCAGUAA